RNAcentral lists this ribosomal RNA (438 nucleotides) under uncultured bacterium. RNAcentral describes it as "bacterial SSU rRNA". It matches the Rfam family "Bacterial small subunit ribosomal RNA", at positions 954 to 1392 of the family's 1533-position model. The record is from RNAcentral.
GCAAAACGCGAAGAACCUUACCCACCUUUGACAUGUACGGAAUCCUUUAGAGAUAGAGGAGUGCUCGAAAGAGAGCCGUAACACAGGUGCUGCAUGGCUGUCGUCAGCUCGUGUCGUGAGAUGUUGGGUUAAGUCCCGCAACGAGCGCAACCCUUGCCAUUAGUUGCUACAUUUAGUUGAGCACUCUAAUGGGACUGCCGGUGACAAACCGGAGGAAGGUGGGGAUGACGUCAAGUCCUCAUGGCCCUUAUAGCCUGGGCUACACACGUGCUACAAUGGUCGGUACAGAGGGUUGCCAAGCCGCGAGGUGGAGCUAAUCUCACAAAACCGAUCGUAGUCCGGAUCGCAGUCUGCAACUCGACUGCGUGAAGUCGGAAUCGCUAGUAAUCGCGAAUCAGAAUGUCGCGGUGAAUACGUUCCCGGGUCUUGUACACACCG